This is a non-coding RNA of Mycena latifolia, 93 nucleotides long. NCBI's taxonomy places the organism in Eukaryota, Fungi, Basidiomycota, Agaricomycetes, Agaricales, Mycenaceae. The record is from the annotation of a GenBank genome assembly.
GACCUGGUAGCACAAUGCCAGUACGUCUGCAUCGUUUACGACGGGUCGAAACGAUUCCCGCAGAUGAUCCCCGUUCGACUCGGGGUCAGGUCA